This 478-nucleotide ribosomal RNA is filed under the name uncultured soil bacterium. Its description in RNAcentral is "bacterial SSU rRNA". It matches the Rfam family "Bacterial small subunit ribosomal RNA", at positions 26 to 518 of the family's 1533-position model. The record is from RNAcentral.
AGAACGAACGUUGGCGGCGUGGAUUAGGCAUGCGAGUCGAGGGAAUCCCCAGCAAUGGGGGGAACCGGCGUAAGGGGCAGUAGGGCGUGGGCAACCUACCCCGGGGUCUGGCAUAGCCCGUCGAGAGACGGGGUAAUUCCAGGCGACAUCCCGGCGGGGCAUCCCGUCGGGAUCACAGGUCCGCCGUCCCGGGCGGGGCCCACGUGAUAUUAGCUGGUUGGUGGGGUAACGGCCCACCGAGGCAUAGAUGUCUAGCGGGUGUGAGAGCACGACCCGCGCCACUGGCACUGAGACACUGGCCAGACACCUACGGGUGGCUGCAGUCGAGGAUCUUCGGCAAUGGGGGCAACCCUGACCGAGCGACGCCGCGUGUGCGACGAAGGCCUUCGGGUUGUAAAGCACUGUCGAGGGGAGGAAAGCCCGCGAGGUGUGACCUAUCCCUGGAGGAAGCACGGCUAAGUUCGUGCCGAGCAGCCGC